GAUGAAGAACGCAGCGAAACGCGAUAAGUAAUGUGAAUUGCAGAAUCCAGUGAAUCAUCGAAUCUUUGAACGCACAUUGCGCCCGCCAGCAUUCUGGCGGGCAUGCCUGUUCGAGCGUCAUUUCAACCCUCGACCUCCCCUUGGGGAGGUCGGCGUUGGGGACCGGCAGCACACCGCCGGCCCUGAAAUGGAGUGGCGGCCCGUCCGCGGCGACCUCUGCGCAGUAAUACAGCUCGCACCGGGACCCCGACGCGGCCACGCCGUAAAACACCCAACUUCUGAACGUUGACCUCGAAUCAGGUAGGACACCCGCUGAACUUAAGCAUAUCAAUAAGCGGAGGA
Molecule: unclassified non-coding RNA, 342 nt
Filed under: soil metagenome
Description: partial contains 5.8S ribosomal RNA, internal transcribed spacer 2, and large subunit ribosomal RNA
Rfam family: 5.8S ribosomal RNA (bases 1-120)
Source: RNAcentral